RNAcentral lists this RNase P RNA (472 nucleotides) under Acidobacteriota bacterium. Its description in RNAcentral is "Acidobacteria bacterium (freshwater metagenome) RNase P RNA component class A". It matches the Rfam family "Bacterial RNase P class A". From Rfam's summary of the family: Ribonuclease P (RNase P) is a ubiquitous endoribonuclease, found in archaea, bacteria and eukarya as well as chloroplasts and mitochondria. Lineage: Bacteria; Pseudomonadati; Acidobacteriota. The record is from RNAcentral.
GUGGUGGGCUGGAUGAUCGCUGUUCGCCUCGCGUAAGCGAGUUGAAGAGAGGAAAGUCCGAACUCCAUAGGGCAGUGCGCCGGGUAACUCCCGGUCGGGGCAACUCGAAGGACUAGUGGCACAGAAAAUAUACCGCCCGCCGUCGCUCUCGGCCCUCGGGCCUUGAGCUAUGGCGAGGUAAGGGUGAAAAGGUGCGGUAAGAGCGCACCGCGUCUGCUGUAAGGCAGAUGGCAGGCAAAACCCCGCACGGAGCAAGGCCAAAUAGGGGGACGCACGAGCACCGGCGCGCUUAGCGGCGCGUGCGGACUCGUUAAGGACGGCCCGUCCGAUGUCUCCGGGUAGGCUGCUGGAGCCGGUGAGCAAUCACCGGCCUUGAGGAAUGAUCGUCGUCUGCCCUAGCCCGCCGUAGCGCCGUAAGGCGCGAAGGCGGGCGAAGGUGGAAACAGAAUUCGGCUUACGGCCCGCCACGACG